RNAcentral lists this long non-coding RNA (267 nucleotides) under Vicia faba (fava bean). Lineage: Eukaryota; Viridiplantae; Streptophyta; Magnoliopsida; Fabales; Fabaceae. The record is from RNAcentral.
AUGGCAUCAAUGUCAGCAUCAGGUUCAUGGAGUGGUAAGGAAAACAAAGCAUUUGAAAGGGCAUUAGCUGUUUUUGAUAAGGACACAGCUGAUCGUUGGUCGAAUGUUGCUAAAGCUGUUGGUGGAGGGAAGACUGCCGAAGAUGUUAAGAGACACUAUGAACUUCUUCUUAGGGACAUUAGGCACAUUGAAUCUGGUCAAGUUCCAUUCCCAAAUUACGACAACAAUGCUGACCAGAAAAGGUUUAGAAACAUGAAGCUCCAGUGA